CUGGCGGGGCGCCAGGCUCGGCGGGUGACGCUGCGUUUUGGAGCCGCAACCGACUGACUCACUUUUUCCUUUCGGGCCAGGAACCCGGCUCCGGCCCUUCCAGAAACUUCCCUGGGCCCCGGGGGGUGGGUCCCCCCCCCGGCCUCUCCCAGCAGGGGGUGCUGUCCCCUGACCCCUGCCCCCAGAUCUUCCCUGGGAGGAGAUGGGGCGGGGGGUUCCCAUUUGCACUAGUCAUUUUCCAUUUUGCGCCACUGACCCCCUCCCCCUCUGCACUAGCCCCUUCCCCGCUCACAGCCCCCCGUCUUUCUCCAUCACCCCCUUCCUUCACCUCUGGGACCGGACCCCCCCCUUGUAGGAAUUGGGACCCCGGAGCUGGCUCUGGGGUGUUGGUUCACCCCCCACAGAUGGCAAGGUGGGGGGGUGGUAUAGGAAAAAGUGGGGGUAUCCCCCCAAAAAAAGAGACCCCUAAUGACUGUGGUUCAAAUGACUCCAAAAGUGGGGGGCUCUGCCAUGAGCCCCUCGGCCCCCCAGCCUCGCCAUGAUCCCUCCCCCUAAAAUCCACUCCUCNNNNNNNNNNNNNNNNNNNNCCCCCUAAAAUCCACUCCUCUGCCCCCCUGUCUGCUUCCUCUGCCUGUGCCCCCCAAAUCCUGCCCCUCUGCUAUCCAGCUGCACCGUCACUCCAAUCCAUCUGGCCCCCCCAUGCACCCUCUCUGCCCCCACAAACCAGCACAUUUUAAACCAUCCGGUCUCUGGGUAGAGGGUCGCAUUACAGAUCUUUGGGGGGGGACCUGUCUCCCCUUAUUCUGCAGAUCUUACCCCCAAGUGCCAGUUUCCCCUCCUCCCCUUCUUUUGGGGGGACCCCAUGCACCCCUAUUCCUCUGUUCUAGGUGCCCCAUGCACCCCCAUGGGGAGCGGGGUCUGCACCCCUUUGAUCCCUGACAUCUGGGUAGCUGUGCGGGGGCGGGGGAGUUGGUCCACUCUCAGAAUCCUUAGUUGCCCCAUUAGGAGAGCGGGUCAGAUUUGGGGGAGCAUAGGGGUGUGCGGAUUUCCCUGGGGGCUGGGAAUCAGGGGUUUGUCCCCAUAGCUGGGAUGGGAUGAUCUCCCUGGCUCAACCUGUGGGGAGGGGCUAAGGAGGAAAUUUGUCCCCUCACCUUGCCCCCAAACCAACCCCUAAAAUUCCUCCCCCCCCAAACUGGUCCGUGACCCUUAUGGACCAUUGGGCUGGGGAGGGGAGCAGACAAUCCCCCUGCCCCAAUUCCAAGGACAAGGAGGGGGUGUCUAUCACUUCCCUCCCCCCCCGCCCUAGCUUUCCAGCCAGCAGGGGGCAGUGCUGGGCAUGAAGCUUUGAUCUCCCUGGGGGGCUUUCCCAAGCCGGCUGAUACCCCCUGCACUAGCGGGUGUGCCGCGGGGCUGCAGGAAAAUGCAACC
RNAcentral lists this long non-coding RNA (1428 nucleotides) under Gopherus agassizii (Agassiz's desert tortoise). RNAcentral describes it as "lncRNA (ENSGAGG00000005417.1)". The record is from RNAcentral. Lineage: Eukaryota; Metazoa; Chordata; Testudines; Testudinidae.